This is a long non-coding RNA of Bos taurus (domestic cattle), 1490 nucleotides long. The record is from Ensembl. NCBI's taxonomy places the organism in Eukaryota, Metazoa, Chordata, Mammalia, Artiodactyla, Bovidae.
GGGAAAGAUGAGCUUAAAGGACCUCUCUGGGUAACUCACCUUUAACGGCUUAAAGUUUGCUCUCCCUGAAGGGAGACAGGUAAGACACCUGGAGACCAAAAAUAAAGAGGUUUGCAGCCCCAAAGGGCAGAAAUGCACACAGAUUUUGACAUGGACCCCUGGCAGGCUAGAACCUUGGAGAAUGGCUGUCUGAGCGUGGGGUGUGUGGUGACCAGCGAGAGAGCUGGACAGCUCCUGGAGGCCCUGGCACCUGCGGGGGAACUGGACCUGCAGAGCUGCCCAUCCAACGUCAAGGUCAAUAUGGCACGCCUGCGCCAGGGAGAGAGCAAGCUCCAGAUCGCCUGCAGAGCUGCCCAUCCAACAUCAAGGUCAAUGUGGCACGCCUGCGCCAGGGAGAGAGCAAGCUCCAGAUCGCCUGCAGAGCUGUCCAUCCAACGUCAAGGUCAAUAUGGCACGCCUGCGCCAGGGAGAAAGCAAGCUCCAGAUCACCUGCAGAGCUGUCCAUCCAACGUCAAGGUCAAUAUGGCAUGCCUGCGCCAGGGAGAAAGCAAGCUCCAGAUCGCCUGCUUGCUGUGGGGGUUAGGGGACCUCUCCCCGCUGGGGUUGCUUCUGCCUGGGAGCUCAGGGGAACGCUCUGGAGAGGAAAGCUCCAUCAGCCAAGUACCAUGUUCCUUGUUCAUCAGCCCAAAGAAGGUAACGCAUUGAUGGCCUGAUUGUGUUUCUACCACGACUUGCAACCCAAGAUGCAGCCCAGCCUCUGAAAAGCCCAUUGUUCCGUGCAGCGAUGUUAUAACUCUCUGUAAACGGGGCAGUCCAGGGCACUCAGCGCUGCCCGCUCCACCCCAUUGGUGACCUGCAGGGACAGCUGAAUGCCUUCUGGUCCGCUGAGCCCAGAGGAGUGGGGCUGGGCUUUCAGAAACAGCAGGGCUGAUUCAUCGAGAACAAAAGCCAGCUCUUCCUGCUAAAUCCCUGGCCAUCAAGGGCGGCGAGGCCAGCAGGCCCCUGAGCCCCUCCGCAGAAACUCCUUCUUCAUCCGGCUACCGCUGUGGGGCUCCACAGCAGGAGAGCCAGCUUCCCACUGCCCCGUCCCUUCAGCCUGGCCUGCUCUCAGAACCCCCCGGGAAGCAGUGGCUUGGGAGUGAAAUCUGGAUUCUCGUCCUGGUCCUGCCAUUUCCCAGCGGUGCAAUGAAAAUAAGAAACUUCACUUCUCUGAGCCUCAGUUUCUCCAUCUGUGAACUGGGAGUGAAAAUAGUUCCAGCCGGAGGAACUGGUGUCAGAUUUGAAGGAGAUAAUGCCCAGAACAGGAACCUACGACUCUUUGUCCUCUUGCUAUCUGGCGUCAUCUUUCAUAACUCAGUCUGGUACCUUGCAUUCCAGACACGUGGGCACGAGCUCACCCAUCUUAGCUCCUCCACGUCAUUACCUGUAGGCUUCCCAGAACGAUACCAGCUUCUGUUUACAGAGGCCCUGCUAUGCCCCAGGCCUUGCAG